AGUGAACGCUGGCGGUAGGCCUAACACAUGCAAGUCGAACGGCAGCACAGUAAGAGCUUGCUCUUACGGGUGGCGAGUGGCGGACGGGUGAGGAAUACAUCGGAAUCUACUUUUUCGUGGGGGAUAACGUAGGGAAACUUACGCUAAUACCGCAUACGACCUACGGGUGAAAGCAGGGGAUCUUCGGACCUUGCGCGAUUGAAUGAGCCGAUGUCGGAUUAGCUAGUUGGCGGGGUAAAGGCCCACCAAGGCGACGAUCCGUAGCUGGUCUGAGAGGAUGAUCAGCCACACUGGAACUGAGACACGGUCCAGACUCCUACGGGAGGCAGCAGUCGGGAAUAUUGGACAAUGGGCGCAAGCCUGAUCCAGCCAUACCGCGUGGGUGAAGAAGGCCUUCGGGUUGUAAAGCCCUUUUGUUGGGGAAGAAAAGCAGCAGGUUAAUACCCCGCUGUUCUGACGGUACCCAAAGAAUAAGCACCGGCUAACUUCGU
This 491-nucleotide ribosomal RNA is filed under the name uncultured bacterium. RNAcentral describes it as "partial 16S ribosomal RNA". It matches the Rfam family "Bacterial small subunit ribosomal RNA", at positions 29 to 506 of the family's 1533-position model. The record is from RNAcentral.